CUACGGGGUGCUCCAGUUAGGAAUCUUCCACAAUGGGCGAAAGCCUGAUGGAGCAACGCCGCGUGCAGGAUGAAGGCCUUCGGGUUGUAAACUGCUUUUAUGUGCGAGGAAUAUGACGGUAACACAUGAAUAAGGAUCGGCUAACUCCGUGCCAGCAGCCGCGGUCAUACGGAGGAUCCGAGCGUUAUCCGGAGUGACUGGGCGUAAAGGGUUGCGUAGGUGGUUUAUUAAGCAAAUAGUGAAAUCUUGUGGCUCAACCAUGAGGCUAUUAUUUGAACUGAUAAACUUGAGAACAUGAGAGGUAGAUGGAAUUCCCAGUGUAGGAGUGAAAUCCGUAGAUAUUGGGAGGAACACCAAUGGCGUAGGCAGUCUACUGGUAUGUUUCUGACACUGAGGCACGAAAGCGUGGGGAGCGAACCGGAUUAGAUACCCUGGUAGUC
RNAcentral lists this ribosomal RNA (440 nucleotides) under uncultured bacterium. Its description in RNAcentral is "partial 16S ribosomal RNA". It matches the Rfam family "Bacterial small subunit ribosomal RNA", at positions 339 to 795 of the family's 1533-position model. The record is from RNAcentral.